This 69-nucleotide transfer RNA is filed under the name Rattus norvegicus (Norway rat). It matches the Rfam family "tRNA". From Rfam's summary of the family: Transfer RNA (tRNA) molecules are approximately 80 nucleotides in length. Lineage: Eukaryota; Metazoa; Chordata; Mammalia; Rodentia; Muridae. The record is from Rfam by way of RNAcentral.
GGGGAUUUAGCUCAGUGGUAGAGCGCUUGCCUAGCAAGCGCAAGGCCCUGGGUUCUGUUCCCAGCUCCA